ACACAUGCAAGUCGAGCGGGGGAAGGUAGCUUGCUACUGGACCUAGCGGCGGACGGGUGAGUAAUGCUUAGGAAUCUGCCUAUUAGUGGGGGACAACAUCUCGAAAGGGAUGCUAAUACCGCAUACGUCCUACGGGAGAAAGCAGGGGAUCUUCGGACCUUGCGCUAAUAGAUGAGCCUAAGUCGGAUUAGCUAGUUGGUGGGGUAAAGGCCUACCAAGGCGACGAUCUGUAGCGGGUCUGAGAGGAUGAUCCGCCACACUGGGACUGAGACACGGCCCAGACUCCUACGGGGGGCAG
This 298-nucleotide ribosomal RNA is filed under the name Acinetobacter baumannii OIFC083. RNAcentral describes it as "partial 16S ribosomal RNA". It matches the Rfam family "Bacterial small subunit ribosomal RNA", at positions 51 to 351 of the family's 1533-position model. Lineage: Bacteria; Pseudomonadati; Pseudomonadota; Gammaproteobacteria; Moraxellales; Moraxellaceae. The record is from RNAcentral.